RNAcentral lists this unclassified non-coding RNA (328 nucleotides) under soil metagenome. RNAcentral describes it as "partial contains 5.8S ribosomal RNA, internal transcribed spacer 2, and large subunit ribosomal RNA". The stretch from base 1 to 120 matches the Rfam family "5.8S ribosomal RNA", at positions 35 to 154 of the family's 154-position model. The record is from RNAcentral.
GAUGAAGAACGCAGCGAAAUGCGAUAAGUAGUGUGAAUUGCAGAAUUCAGUGAAUCAUCGAAUCUUUGAACGCACAUUGCGCCCCUUGGUAUCCCGAGGGGCAUGCCUGUUCGAGCGUCAUUUCACCACUCAAGCCUGGCUUGGUGUUGGGCGACGUCCCCUUUAGGGACGCGCCUCGAAACGCUCGGCGGCGUGGCACCGGCUUUAAGCGUAGCAGAAUCUUUCGCUUUGGAAGUCGGGGCCCCGCCUGCCGGAAUACCUACUCGUAAGGUUGACCUCGGAUCAGGCAGGGAUACCCGCUGAACUUAAGCAUAUCAAUAGCGGAGGA